CUGUCGUUGGAGAACCAGCUGACAAUGACGGUGAUGACUCGGAAGGCACCUGACAUUACCUGGAGACAGCUAAAGAAACUGGAUCAACAGGCAUCUAUUCAGCUUGCAGACGUGGAAGGCCCUGCAACUGCAGAGAAUUGGUUUCUUGUGUAUCUGAUGGUAAUUAGGGAAACUUCUGAGAAAGUAAGACAGACAUGGAUGUUGCAGUGGCUGGCAUUUGCAGAAGACCCUAUACUGCCACCUGAUGCAUCUAUGACCAGGAAAGAAUGAUAGAAGCUUACCUUGCAUGAGAUGACCAGCAAGCUUUAAGAAUUAAAAAAGGGGGAGAUAUGGGGGGCACAUGGCAACAUAUUCAAGCUUAUGUACAAGGCAUUCGAGGUCGGGGCAUGGAAAAAUAUUGAGGCAUUGUGUGUAUGUUAUUUGUGCAUGAGAAUGAAACUCGACCCUGAAAACAGGACAAGGAGUGGAGUGUGUGGUGUGAUAAGGAACGCUGAAAACAGCCUCCUGAGAAUGCAGUUUGAGUGUUUUUACAAG
Long non-coding RNA from Mandrillus leucophaeus (drill), 534 nucleotides. RefSeq lists it as uncharacterized. The record is from RefSeq and is a predicted model, not a curated record. Lineage: Eukaryota; Metazoa; Chordata; Mammalia; Primates; Cercopithecidae. The transcript has 2 exons.